This 468-nucleotide ribosomal RNA is filed under the name uncultured bacterium. RNAcentral's name for it is "partial 16S ribosomal RNA". It matches the Rfam family "Bacterial small subunit ribosomal RNA", at positions 28 to 507 of the family's 1533-position model. The record is from RNAcentral.
GACGAACGCUGGCGGCGUGCUUAACACAUGCAAGUCGAACGGAAAGGCCCUGCUUUUGUGGGGUGCUCGAGUGGCGAACGGGUGAGUAACACGUGAGUAACCUGUCCUUGACUUUGGGAUAACUUCAGGAAACUGGGGCUAAUAUCGGAUAGGAGCUCCUGCUGCAUGGUGGGGGUUGGAAAGUUUCGGCGGUUGGGGAUGGACUCGCGGCUUAUCAGCUUGUUGGUGGGGUAGUGGCUUACCAAGGCUUUGACGGGUAGCCGGCCUGAGAGGGUGACCGGCCACAUUGGGACUGAGAUACGGCCCAGACUCCUACGGGAGGCAGCAGUGGGGAAUAUUGCGCAAUGGGCGGAAGCCUGAUACAGCAACGCCGCGUGCGGGAUGACGGCCUUCGGGUUGUAAACCGCUUUCGCCUGUGACGAAGCGUGAGUGACGGUAAUGAGUAAAGAAGCACCGGCUAACUACGUG